GAGGUUGUGGCUCAGAGGUAGAGGGCUCCCCUAGCAUGUGUGAGGGUGCUGGGUUUGAUCCUCAGCACCUCA
This 72-nucleotide transfer RNA is filed under the name Marmota monax (woodchuck). Its description in RNAcentral is "tRNA.Ala". The record is from RNAcentral. Lineage: Eukaryota; Metazoa; Chordata; Mammalia; Rodentia; Sciuridae.